This 105-nucleotide ribosomal RNA is filed under the name Chinchilla lanigera (long-tailed chinchilla). The record is from RNAcentral. Lineage: Eukaryota; Metazoa; Chordata; Mammalia; Rodentia; Chinchillidae.
ACAGCCACCCUAAACAUGCCUGAUCUCAGCUGAUCUCAUGAACUGAGCCGGUUUGGUCCUGGUUAUCACUUGGAUGGGAAACCACCUGGAAUAUCGGGCAGUGUA